Long non-coding RNA from Symphalangus syndactylus (siamang), 886 nucleotides. RefSeq lists it as uncharacterized. NCBI's taxonomy places the organism in Eukaryota, Metazoa, Chordata, Mammalia, Primates, Hylobatidae. The record is from RefSeq and is a predicted model, not a curated record.
GUAUGAAGGAGGAACUGUAUCUCCUAUAUAUAUUAAGUUUCAUUUAUAAAGACAUCAGAGAACACCUGAGAAUGUUUCAAAGUCACCAGAAGCUUUCUGAAAAUGCCUUUCUGCAAAGAAGGUUUCCAGUACUUUCAGGGAGAGUGUUAAUUGGAUUUGAAGGAAGACACUGAUGAGCUGCUGGGAGUGAGAGUGAGAGCCUCGAGGAGUCUACAGUGCAUUUUAAGGAGUGUAGCUCUGAUGAACUGCAAGGCCUUUGUUUUGCUGUGUGGGGGCCCUGCCUUUUCUCUAAAGAGAAGUUGAAGACUUACCUAAAGAACAUCCUUUCGAAGGAGAAACAACAAUCACUAGCUUGUCCAGCGCAUGCUCAUGUCUUCAUCCAGAGGUUGAGCAUCCCUAAUCCGAAAAUCCAAAGUGCAAAAUGUUCCAAAAUCUGAAACUUGCUGAAUACCAACAUGACGCCACAGAUGGAAAGUUCCAUACCUGACCUCAUGUGAUGGGUCCCAGUCAAAACACAGGUGGACAAUACUAGCUUAUUCAGCAUUCCCAAGGGAAAACUGAAAUUACCUUCAGCCUAUAUGUAUAAGGUGAAUAUGAAACAUAAAUAAAUUUUGUGUUUGGACUUGGGUCCCAUCCCUAGGAUUUUUCAUAUUAUAUAUAUGUACAAAUACUUCAAAAUCAAAAAAAUCUGAAGUCCAAAACACUUCUGAUCCCAAGCCUUUCAGAUAAGGAAUACUCAACCUGUAUCAGUUAUUUUGGCUGUUUUUCCCAGGAUUUAUUUCUGUAUUUCCCAAUGAUAUAUGUAUACUGCUAUUUCUUAAUUUAUCUUUUUUGUCAUUAUUUAGUGAGAAACUAUUAAAAUAGUUGAUGAUUUAACUCUCCUAAA